CCGACCUUAGCUCAGUUGGUAGAGCGGAGGACUGUAGUUGGUUCAACAGAUAUCCUUAGGUCGCUGGUUCGAAUCCGGCAGGUCGGA
This 87-nucleotide transfer RNA is filed under the name Nelumbo nucifera (sacred lotus). It matches the Rfam family "tRNA". Rfam says of the family: Transfer RNA (tRNA) molecules are approximately 80 nucleotides in length. Their secondary structure includes four short double-helical elements and three loops (D, anti-codon, and T loops). Lineage: Eukaryota; Viridiplantae; Streptophyta; Magnoliopsida; Proteales; Nelumbonaceae. The record is from Rfam by way of RNAcentral.